This is a long non-coding RNA of Salvelinus fontinalis (brook trout), 462 nucleotides long. RefSeq lists it as uncharacterized. The record is from RefSeq and is a predicted model, not a curated record. NCBI's taxonomy places the organism in Eukaryota, Metazoa, Chordata, Actinopteri, Salmoniformes, Salmonidae. The transcript has 3 exons.
CGGCUACUAAGGGAGCAGCCCCGAACCAGAAGCCAAGGCAGCACAGGUCCACAGUACACCUGCCAUGUCUGUCGGAAGUGCAGACCCAAAGACAUCCAAGCAGCACUUUGAGAGCAAGUAUCCCAAGUCUCCAAUGGUCCCAGUACUGGUUGAUGUGCAGUCCUAAGUGACCACACACACUCAAAAAUGGACCUACAGCUGGGACAGACGAAGACCACGAUUUUAAAUGCUGCAACAGAUGGAAUAACGCAGAGGGACAGGGGACAGAUAUUUAUGACAACCUAAAAGGGGUGCAGAAGCACAACAGCACCCCAUUUUGUGUAUUCCAUAGCCAACCAUCUCUUUAACUACACCUUAUUCCACACUAUGCCUUCUAUGCCCCAUGUUCCCUCAACUUCAGCCACUUUGGAACUCUCCAUCUUAUCUCUAUAAACCCACCCUACCUUCACCCAUUUUCCCUAU